GUUGUUCUCCCUGAGACUUAGAGUCUCCUGAAGGAACGUUGAAGACGACGACGUUGAUAGGCCGGGUGUGUAAGCGCAGCGAUGCGUUGAGCUAACCGGUACUAAUGAACCGUGAGGCUUAACCUU
Molecule: ribosomal RNA, 126 nt
Filed under: Salmonella enterica
Lineage: Bacteria; Pseudomonadati; Pseudomonadota; Gammaproteobacteria; Enterobacterales; Enterobacteriaceae
Description: partial 23S ribosomal RNA
Rfam family: Bacterial large subunit ribosomal RNA
Source: RNAcentral